ACGGGGUGCAGCAGGCGCGAAAACUUUGCAAUACGCGUAAGUGUGACAGGGCUAUCCCGAGUGCCAUCCGCUGAGGAAGGCUUUUACCCAGUCUAGAACGCUGGGGGAAUAAGGAGAGGGCAAGUCUGGUGUCAGCCGCCGCGGUAAUACCAGCUCUCCGAGUGGUGUGGAUGUUUAUUGGGCCUAAAGCAUCCGUAGCUGGCUAAGUUAGUCCCUUGUUAAAUCCACCGAAUUAAUCGUUGGAUUGCGGGGGAUACUGCUCGGCUAGGGGACGGGAGAGGCAGACGGUAUUUCCGGGGUAAGGGUGAAAUCUUAUAAUCCCGGGAAGACCACCAGUGGCGAAGGCUGUCUGCUAGAACGCGCCCGACGGUGAGGGAUGAAAGCUGGGGUAGCGAACCGGAUUAGAUACCCGGGUAGUCCCAGCCGUAAACGAUGCAGGCUAGGUGUUUGGGCGGCCACGUGCCGCUCUAGUACCGCAGGGAAGCUGUUAAGCCUGCCGCCUGGGGAGUACGAUCGCAAGAUUGAAACUUAAAGGAAUUGGCGGGGGAGCAC
RNAcentral lists this ribosomal RNA (552 nucleotides) under uncultured archaeon. RNAcentral describes it as "bacterial SSU rRNA". It matches the Rfam family "Archaeal small subunit ribosomal RNA", at positions 325 to 879 of the family's 1478-position model. The record is from RNAcentral.